GCUUACGGCCAUACCAGCCUGGGUACGCCCGAUCUCGUCUGAUCUCGGAAGCUAAGCAGGGUCGGGCCCGGUUAGUACUUGGAUGGGAGACCGCCUGGGAAUACAGGUGCUGUAAGCA
RNAcentral lists this ribosomal RNA (118 nucleotides) under Salmo salar (Atlantic salmon). The record is from RNAcentral. Lineage: Eukaryota; Metazoa; Chordata; Actinopteri; Salmoniformes; Salmonidae.